This is a long non-coding RNA of Juglans regia (Persian walnut), 854 nucleotides long. RefSeq lists it as uncharacterized. NCBI's taxonomy places the organism in Eukaryota, Viridiplantae, Streptophyta, Magnoliopsida, Fagales, Juglandaceae. The transcript has 3 exons. The record is from RefSeq and is a predicted model, not a curated record.
CCUCCAUAAGCCAUUUGGAUUCUCUUCCUUCUCCUACACGUUGGCUUCCUCAACAAGCCAUUUGGAUUCUCUUCCUUCUCCUACACGUUGGCUUCCUCAACAAGCCAUUAGACUUUCUCAUCCCUCUCUUCACCCAUAAGCUUCCUCAAGAAGCUAAGUAGAUUCCUCUUUCUUCCCCCACACGUCGGAUCCAAGGAAAAGAGAAACACAAUCCUCUCAUUUUCCCUUGCAUCACCGACGGCCUCCAAGACAAAAACCAGUAAAUUUCCUCCCCAGCACUCCAGUAAAUUUCCUCCCCAGCUCUCUUCAUCUAUCAAUUCCAAGGCACCCGAAGGAGAGAAAAUCUCCUCAAGCCGAUUCUUCCAUUCGUAAACCCAAGUCUCCCAUAGAAAAUCUCCAUGGGAAAAUCAACCCCCUUUGAGAUUUCGGGUUUUCUCUUCCCCUUCUCAUCUGCUGUGUAUUCCGUGGCUUAAAAAGGGACCCAACUAGGAAUGAUAAGGCUGUGGAGCUAGGCACUGCUGAGGAGGGAAGGGCUGAUGCUUAGAAUUCUCUGUUGGUUUGGUUUAAUGAUAAUGGUUAUGUUUUAUGUUUUAUGAUGGGUCCCAUGUUGGGACGUUUUGUUGGUUUGACUUUAAGACAAUAUGUCCUUGGGCAUGAUGUAGGUAUUGUGGUGGGAUGAUAGUAAUAGUGUAAUUUCUAUAGUGGGGUGAUGGUAACCCCACAUAAGAAGGUUAAAUGUGUUUUGGGUUUGUUGUAGGGACGAAGUCCCCUUUUUAUUGGAACUAGUGAUGUUUUAAAUGAAUGAAUGGUGGACUCUGAGAGUCCUUUGGGUAAUAUGUUGAACAGAUUGUCUA